This 477-nucleotide ribosomal RNA is filed under the name uncultured bacterium. Its description in RNAcentral is "partial 16S ribosomal RNA". It matches the Rfam family "Bacterial small subunit ribosomal RNA", at positions 30 to 507 of the family's 1533-position model. The record is from RNAcentral.
AUUGAACGCUGACGGCAUGCCUUACACAUGCAAGUCGAACGGUAACAGGUUAAGCUGCCGAGUGGCGAACGGGUGAGUAAUGUAUCGGAACGUGCCCAGUCGUGGGGGAUAACUGCUCGAAAGAGCAGCUAAUACCGCAUACGACCUGAGGGUGAAAGCGGGGGAUCGCAAGACCUCGCGCGAUUGGAGCGGCCGAUAUCAGAUUAGGUAGUUGGUGAGGUAAAGGCUCACCAAGCCGACGAUCUGUAGCUGGUCUGAGAGGACGACCAGCCACACUGGGACUGAGACACGGCCCAGACUCCUACGGGAGGCAGCAGUGGGGAAUUUUGGACAAUGGGCGCAAGCCUGAUCCAGCCAUGCCGCGUGCGGGAAGAAGGCCUUCGGGUUGUAAACCGCUUUUGUCAGGGAAGAAAAGGUUCUGGCUAAUACCUGGGACUCAUGACGGUACCUGAAGAAUAAGCACCGGCUAACUACGUG